UACGAGUGCCCCAAGCGUUAUCCGGAAUUAUUGGGCGUAAAGGGUGUGUAGGUGGUCUUGUUAGUCUUCUGUGAAAUUCUUCGGCUUAACCGGGGGUCCGCAGGGGAAACGGCAGGACUAGAGGAUGCGAGAGGUGUGCGGGACUCAUGGUGUAGGGGUGAAAUCCGUUGAUAUCAUGGGGAACACCGAAAGCGAAGGCAGCACACUGGCGCACUCCUGACACUGAAACACGAAAGCGUGGGUAGCGAAUGGG
Molecule: ribosomal RNA, 253 nt
Filed under: uncultured bacterium
Lineage: Bacteria
Description: partial 16S ribosomal RNA
Rfam family: Bacterial small subunit ribosomal RNA
Source: RNAcentral